AACACUCGCUAUGUGUUUACAGUUAAUAAAUUUGUAAUAAGACCAGAGCUAGGUUCGGCUACUGGAGUAGUGAGAAGUGUAGUUUGAAUUAAUGACCACAGACCAAAGAAAAUUAAGUUAAAACAGUCGGCUUAUUAUUAGUUUAAAGAACAAUAAAAGAAUAAACAACAACAAUGUUACACAAUUAACACACAAUGACACAAAUUCAAAAAAAAGAAAAAUAGUUUCCAGUUCCUUUCAGAGUAUUUUAUAAAUCUAAAUUAAGGAUACUAUUUAUUUUACCUAGGUUAUAGUUCUAUUUAGGUUCUAGUUAAUACUAUUUAUCUAUUUUGAUUUACAGUUUGUUUUAAUCUGUUUAAUCUAUUUUAAUUCUUUGGUGUUUCCCUUAAGGAGUUAAAAAAAAAAAAACAAUAACAGCAAAACAACAACACAGCAGAACAAUUCAGAAAGGACAGAUCAAACUGUGCUUCAGAUUGAUGUCUUGUUUCUUCCGAUGAUCCAACAGUUAAUUCUGUUUCAGUGACCCACUGCUAAUACGCAUGACAACAUGGGCAGGUCAUACCAAAUUGCAGGGUUGGCAAUGUCCAGCAGAAGGCGUAGCUCCUACUUGAUGGUCUUUAGCUCCAGGGUUGGCUCGCCAUCUCGUUCUCCUUAGGAAGAUCCAGUUCAGUGAUGAUCCGAGACUCUUUAGGAAGGUUCAGUUCAGUGAUGAUCCGAGACUCUUUAGGAAGAUCCAAUUCAGCGAUGAUCCGAGACUCUUUAGGAAGAUCCAAUUCAGCGAUGAUCCGAGACUCCUUAGUCCAAAUCCCAGCCGAACGAAAACAAAACAACAACAACAACAAAAAAAGCCUGUUGCCAACAAAGAGCGACAGUUAGCAACAGUUAGCUCCUCUGCUGAUAAGCCGUUGAAUUUCUGUUGACAAGAGCAGCUGUUAGCUUCAGCGGAUCAGCUGUUACUCCUGUUGACUUUCAGUUGGCUUGCUCCUCCGCUUCAGCUUUCCAUUUAAAUUAAAUAAAUGUUUAACAAAUACAUUAUCUUAAAAAAAGAAACAAAAGAAACAAAAUACACUUUCAACUCACCAAGUCCAGUUCCACAACACAAAAAAAAUGAUCCCGAACGCAGUCAGGGUGAGA
This is a long non-coding RNA of Poecilia latipinna (sailfin molly), 1134 nucleotides long. RefSeq lists it as uncharacterized. The transcript has 2 exons. Lineage: Eukaryota; Metazoa; Chordata; Actinopteri; Cyprinodontiformes; Poeciliidae. The record is from RefSeq and is a predicted model, not a curated record.